This 30-nucleotide non-coding RNA is filed under the name Homo sapiens (human). The record is from RNAcentral. Lineage: Eukaryota; Metazoa; Chordata; Mammalia; Primates; Hominidae.
UUCAAGGUCCAGACCCAGGUACCGAGGAGC